AACAAAAAAGAGGGCAUAUGACAAAAGGAAAUGACGCCUUUAUCUGAUAUAGCUUUAUAAAUAUAAAGAUCCAGAUUAGAUUCAUAUCCGGAUUUCCAUGUGCCUACUAUGACAUUCCUGUAAGAAGAGGAGAUAAUUUCGAGCGCACAUUGUGUCAAAUAAUGAAACCGUCUUAACAGAGACGUUAUCUUAAAUGUAUCUAUAUAUAGUCUCCUGUCCUUUGCACCGUAGUCUGGGAUCUCUUCGUGCCAAGUAUCGAUUUGCAGACCAAAUUUGUCUUAGGCCGUUACCUUAUAGUCUAGUGUUGUUAUUUAUAAGAACUGCAGCCUAUAUGAAUAUGAAAACAUAGAAUAAAUAUUUAAUAAAAUAUCUUGAAUUGAUAAA
Molecule: long non-coding RNA, 384 nt
Organism: Centruroides sculpturatus (bark scorpion)
Lineage: Eukaryota; Metazoa; Arthropoda; Arachnida; Scorpiones; Buthidae
Exons: 2
Source: RefSeq, a predicted model, not a curated record